This is a non-coding RNA of Danio rerio (zebrafish), 72 nucleotides long. The record is from Rfam. NCBI's taxonomy places the organism in Eukaryota, Metazoa, Chordata, Actinopteri, Cypriniformes, Danionidae.
CGUUCCGUGGUGUAAUGGUUAGCACUCUGGACUCUGAAUCCAACGAUCCAAGUUCAAAUCUCGGUGGGACCU